UACGGAGGGUGCAAGCGUUAUCCGGAAUCACUGGGUUUAAAGGGUGCGUAGGCGGCGCAAUAAGUCAGAGGUGAAAGCCUGCAGCUCAACUGUAGAAUUGCCUUUGAUACUGCUGCGCUUGAAUCAGGUUGAGGUUGGCGGAAUGUGGCAUGUAGCGGUGAAAUGCAUAGAUAUGCCAUAGAACACCAAUUGCGAAGGCAGCUGACUGGGCCUGAAUUGACGCUGAGGCGCGACAGCGUGGGGAGCUAACAGG
RNAcentral lists this ribosomal RNA (253 nucleotides) under uncultured bacterium. RNAcentral's name for it is "partial 16S ribosomal RNA". It matches the Rfam family "Bacterial small subunit ribosomal RNA", at positions 524 to 776 of the family's 1533-position model. The record is from RNAcentral.